Molecule: ribosomal RNA, 498 nt
Filed under: uncultured bacterium
Lineage: Bacteria
Description: bacterial SSU rRNA
Rfam family: Bacterial small subunit ribosomal RNA
Source: RNAcentral
ACUCAAAUGAAUUGACGGGGGCCCGCACAAGCGGUGGAGCAUGUGGUUUAAUUCGAUGCAACGCGAAGAACCUUACCCAGGCUUGACAUGCGUCGGACCGGUGUGGAAACACACCUUCCCUUCGGGGCCGGCGCACAGGUGCUGCAUGGCUGUCGUCAGCUCGUGUCGUGAGAUGUUGGGUUAAGUCCCGCAACGAGCGCAACCCUUGUCCUUAGUUGCCAGCAAGUUACGUUGGGCACUCUAAGGAGACUGCCGUCGAUAAGGCGGAGGAAGGUGGGGAUGACGUCAAGUCCUCAUGGUCCUUACGCCUGGGGCUACACACGUGCUACAAUGGCCAGACCAAAGGGUUGCAAUGCCGCGAGGUGGAGCCAAUCCCACAAAACUGGCCUCAGUUCAGAUUGCAGUCUGCAACUCGACUGCAUGAAGGCGGAAUCGCUAGUAAUCGCUGAUCAGCAGGCAGCGGUGAAUAUGUUCCCGGGCCUUGUACACACCGCCCGU